Pelobates cultripes (western spadefoot toad) is the source of this 346-nucleotide non-coding RNA. The record is from the annotation of a GenBank genome assembly. Lineage: Eukaryota; Metazoa; Chordata; Amphibia; Anura; Pelobatidae.
AAGGUGCAAGAAAAGUUGUCCCUAUAUGAAAAUGAGAAACUGAGAAUUGUGAAAACCGGUUACAAAGACCUAUUUGAUGCCAUACCUUAUACAGACAAAAAAUGGUAAGUCGGAUUUUCUUCUAUACUGACUUUAUUUUUUUCUCUUAACCCUAUAUAUUUUAAUAACCAAAAAUAUUUUUUUGUUUUGUUUUUUCCAGGGUUGAAAAUAUGAGAACCAAAAUGCCAAUGUUGUUGUCGGACUUUUUGGGUCUCAUACAGACCUUCUCUACGUUCCAAAAUUUCCUUAAAUGUGAAACCGAGAAAGCUGAGGAAUUUAUAGUGACAACAGAGAAAAGGUAUAUAAG